GACUCCAUGAAGUUGGAAUCGCUAGUAAUCGUGGAUCAGCAUGCCACGGUGAAUACGUUCCCGGGCCUUGUACACACCGCCCGUCACACCACGAAAGUCAAUUGUACCAGAAGGCGUUGAGCUAAUCCCUGAUUCGUCAGGGAAGGCAGGCGACUAAGGUAUGGUUGGUAAUUGGGGUGAAGUCGUAACAAGGUAGCCGUAGGGGAACCUGCGGCUGGAUCACCUCCUUUCUAAGGA
RNAcentral lists this ribosomal RNA (237 nucleotides) under Deltaproteobacteria bacterium CG_4_10_14_0_8_um_filter_43_12. Its description in RNAcentral is "partial 16S ribosomal RNA". It matches the Rfam family "Bacterial small subunit ribosomal RNA", at positions 1314 to 1533 of the family's 1533-position model. The record is from RNAcentral. Lineage: Bacteria; Deltaproteobacteria.